This 258-nucleotide ribosomal RNA is filed under the name uncultured bacterium. Its description in RNAcentral is "partial 16S ribosomal RNA". It matches the Rfam family "Bacterial small subunit ribosomal RNA", at positions 524 to 776 of the family's 1533-position model. The record is from RNAcentral.
UACGGAGGGUGCGAGCGUUGUCCGGAAUCAUUGGGCGUAAAGGGCGCGUAGGUGGCCACUUCAAGCGUGCGGUGAAAGUCGGGGGCUCAACCCCUGAUCGGCCGUGCGAACUGGGGGGCUGGAGCACUGUAGAGGCAGGCGGAAUUCCGGGUGUAGCGGUGGAAUGCGUAGAGAGUCCGGAAGAACACCGGUGGCGAAGGCGGCCUGCUGGGCAGUUUUGCUGACACUGAGGCGCGGACAGCGUGGGGAGCAAACAGG